This 6948-nucleotide long non-coding RNA is filed under the name Homo sapiens (human). RNAcentral's name for it is "HSALNT0026103". The record is from RNAcentral. Lineage: Eukaryota; Metazoa; Chordata; Mammalia; Primates; Hominidae.
GAGCCAAUAGAACUCAUUCUCUCCCCGGGUGAACACACACCAGGGCUCUGCAUGCCUUCUUACAACAAACUGCGUGGUGGGCGCACCAGCCUUCCCCAUCUGACUCUGUGUGCUGCCCACCUGGUGGUUGUGCUGGAGGUUUUGAAGAGUGAGACUUUGGCCCCAGGUCUCCUGCCUGAGAGCUGCGUAAACCUAGAGCCUUGUCUCACAGAGCCCCUGUUCCCACAGCAUUAAAGUGGAGAUGACAGAGUCCCUCCUGGAGAGCCGGUCUAGCCAUUCAGUGAGUCAGCAGCACAGCUCCUCCAGCACGCAGAGAACAGCGGUCCAUGGAGGGAGGGCGUGAGCCUGGGGUUUUACUGAGGAAGGAUAGUGGGUUUUUCAGUCCCUGAAGCUGCUGCUCUGCCCACUCAGGAAGGUGAGGAAGGCAGACGACAGCGUACAUCCAGCCUCUGCUCUGCCAGGGUCGUUGAUGCCCUUUGGAAUGGAGAGCUGUGAAGGGGAAUGCCUAGGCCUCACAGAGGAGGCUCGUGACCCGGACAGGUGUGGGACUAGGGGCCAUGUCUGUAGCUCCCCUGCCACGGAGCAGAAUCUGCCUCUCCAUAAGCGUUAAGCUCUGGGGACUGUGACAUCCACGCUGGGCCUGGCUCCUGCCUUCCGCCUCCUGCCCAGCCCCUGCCAGCAGCACAUGGUGGAGACCGGUUGCCCAAAGCUCUUGUUCUCAGAUGUGGGCAGAACGGGAAUCUGCCAUGUGCCCGUGGAUUAAAAAAAAGAAACCCAGGCUGCUUUUCUGUCUGUUAGAAGGAGCCUGCACUUCAAGAUAGUGGGGAUGUAUAUUUUAAAAAAUUUCACGCUCAUGGGCCAAAGAUUUUCCCGGGGCUGUGUGCUGAUUUGCAGCCUAUCAUGUGUGGCUUUGGGACACUGGGGAAGGUGUGGAGCAGUUUAAGUGACAAACGGGUUGGAAAAGCAAAGGACACCAGGUGAGGAUGAUGGAAUUUACAUCCUGUUGCUUCCCUGAUAGUUCCUGCCAAUAUGGGAUCCCACUACUAUCUUUCUGCCCUAAAAAUAUGUGUAUAUUGAGAUAGAAACUGUUGUAAUGGCUGCAUGCAUUCAGUAGAGGAAAGGAGAGAAGAAAGAAGGAACAGAUUUAGUCCUGCCCAGAAUCUGCACUUCCACGGAGGACGCCAGGAUAUCACGGGAGAGACUGCAGCUCUGAUCAAAUGGGGCGAGCUCUUGGCAGGAGCCAGCAUGUUCCUGUGUUCCAUUUGGGAGGACAGUUUACUUUAAUGAUGUACUUUGAAAUCAGGUGGACGUCUGUAACUCCUGGACCUUUCGCAGCCUUUCCAGCCACGGUCAUCUCUGUGGAGUCAGGGGCAGGGACUUUGGGAUCAGCUUCUGCCCUUGUGAAAACAGCAGAGCAGCCUGAGAGCCAGGAAGGACCUCACCUGAGUAUCAGAUCACCUCAUCAGGCUGAAUUGUGUGGAUCUAGGGAUUUUAAAGAGGUGAUUAAGGUAAAAUGAGGUUAUUAGGGUGGCCCUUGACCCAGUGUGACUGGUAUCCUCAUAAGAGGAGAUUAGGACACAGCCACACAGAGGGACGACCACCUGAGGAUCCCUGAGAAGAUGGCAUCUGGAAGGUGAGGAGAGAGGCCUCAGAAGGAAUCAACUCUGCUGAUACUUGAUGCCAACUUCCAGCCUCUGAAACUGCGAGCAAGGUGGUUUGUUAUUCAGCAAUGGAUAAUUAGAGCACUGACUCACCUUGAUGGGCCUCAUCAUCAUUCAUCCAGAAAUCUUUUAUUGAGAAAAAUAAUAUUUGCCAUGUUGUGCAAGGAGUUGGGGUUGCAAAGCUGGGUGCUGUGAUCUAUAACACAAGGCAGCAGGAUUGUCUGACCUCCGAGAGCCAUGUGCCCUGGGAUCAUCUGGCCACAGUUAUCUCACAGAAUUCCUAAUGCACAGUCUGUGUGGGAGGUGAUGCCGGAGUCCCCCCUCCCUCUGGGCUCCUCCCCGUGCUCUGCUCACAUCACUGGGGGGUUGGCGGCAGCCUGCUGAGUCCUUUCGACCCUCAGCCCGCUCUCCAGCACUCAGACUGGCCGAAACCUGUGCCGCUGGCUCCACCCUCAGGUCUCCCCACUCCUCUCAUUAGCCACCGGCCUUCUCAGCCUUCUCUUAUUCUUGUGACUCUUGCCUGACCCUGCCUCAGCUCUGUGUCCUCCCAGACUGCUGACUGUGAGGCUUUGCCCAGCGGAUUUUCCAUCGCCAAAUUAGAGCUUUUCUUUCCUCGCCUGACUGCUCCCUGUCACUGUCUUCUGUAUCUUCCUGUUCCUGAUUUUGGCUGGCUAUCAAGAGAAGAAGAUCUACAAUCAUCCUAUCUCUCAUGGCACCUUACCAUGUGCAACUCCCUCGUAUCUAAUACCUCACUUCACCUUUUCUGUUCUUCUAUUUAUGAGCUACGUGAUGUCAGACAAGGCACUUAACUACUCUGGGCUUUGGCUCCCUUAUUUAACGAUAGGUAUCAUAAUAAUACCUGUCCUGUCCAAUUUACAGUUUGUCUGACAGUUAUUCAUUUAACAAACAUGCAUUGGGUUCCUACUGAGUGCUGGGUGAUGUAUCCAGCAUUGCUAAGACAACGGCCGUGAGAACAGCAAGCAUGCCUGGGUUUUGCAUUCUAGUGGGACGUCUUAAUCUAUUUUCUGCUAAAACAUAAUACCACAAACUAGGCAGUUGAUGAAGAAGAUACAUUUACUUCUUGCAGUUGAAGAGGCUGGGAAGUCCAAGGGCAUGGCACUGGCAUCUGGGUCAUCCCAUGGUGGAAGGUGGAAGGUGGAAGGGCAGGGACUAAGAAGAGCACCAGGUGCCAGACUCACUUUGUAACAACCCACUGUCAUAAUAACUAACCUGACCUCACAACCCAGUCACCUCCCAACAAAGUUGCAUUGGGAUUGAAUUUAUAACACAAGAACUUUUGGGGGGCAAAUUCAAGCCAGGCAUGGGGGUUAGUGUAAAUAAAUGAAUAGUGCAUACUAACUGAUUGAGGCCAUUGUUAACAAAAAUGAAAAAACAAGGGUGGGUUUGGGGAGUGGUGGCGGGGUGAACAGGCCUCUGGAGUGGCACAUACGGGGAAAACCUCUGUGCAGGCAGAGACCUGGGCUGCUGAGAAGGGGCCGGACUUGGAGAUCUGGGAAAAAGCAUCUCAGUUGAGGGAGAAAUGGAGCAAGCCUGGAGCCCUGAAGAGCCUGAGGACUUUGAGACCAGGGAGCAGGUACUGGUCAUGGGGCAUGGGAGACUGGCUCAGGCAGGACCAGGCAGGGUCUCUGUCCCUGGUAAAGAAUGUGGGUAUUAUUUUGAGUGACAGGAGUGGCAUACUCAGAUCUGCUUUGGGAUGAUCCUUCCUGCUGCUGUGUGAAUGCUGCAGCCAGAAAUGGUGCUGGGGGUGUUAUUAGGAUGCUGCCAUGACCCAUUCAGAGAUGAUCGUGGCUGGACCACAGUGGGGAGAAGAGGGGGAUCAUCAUAACCUGUUCCUGGAAGCCCUGCUGGGCGUGAGGGGAGUGGAGGAAUUAAGAAUGGCUCCCACCACUUGAUAAAUGGAGAAACCCAAAGCAGUCGUGUGGUUUUUGAGGUGUGGGGGAAGUGAAGGACUCCUCUUUGUAUAACGUGUGAGCUUCCUGACAUGUCUUCAUGGGAAUAGAAGGUUGGCCUUGGGAUGUUUGCAUCUGGAGCUCAGAAGAACAAUACUAACCUGGAGAAACAUGGGUGCCAUUUGCUUAGGGUGUUGUUAGAAUGCAUAGAGGAUGAGCAUAAUUUGGGGAGUGGUGACAAGCACCCAUGGAUGCCCCACACUACUUCUCAGAGCCCUCAUCCUGGGCUCCAUGUCCUAUGGAUGCCAUAACAGAUGUCCACAGACUUGAUGGCUUAAAAUAGUCAAAAUUUGUUCUUUACAGUAAUGGAGGCUGAAAGUCCAAAAUCAGUUUCAGGGGGCAAAAUCCAAAGAACCUGCUGAGCUGUGCUCUCCCGGAAGGCUCUAGGAAAGAGACCUUCCUGCCUCUUCUAGCUUCUGGGGGCUCCUGGUGUCCUUGGUGCCACAUGACCUAAUCUCUCCUCUGUGGCCACAUGGCCUUCCCUGGGUGUCGAGUCUCUCUCUGCCCUCUUUUCUAAGGAUACUCCUGAUGAGAUUUAGGGCCCACUCAGAUAAUCCACAAUAAUCUUUCCUUGUCUCUUCUGCAGAGACCUUUUUCACAGUUUCCAGGGGGUAGGGUGUGCUAAUUGGGGACCAUAGUCCAGCCCACUACGUACUAAAGGUUUGGAGAGGCAGUACUUCAACAUUGAAAGCUGGAACUUGGGGUAAGAGUGCAAUCUUGGAAUUGCAUUUCUAAACAAAUGGAGUUGGGCUAGGAAUAUUCCUAGCUGUCUGACCACAGGCCUGUUUCUUGGUUAUCAGACCUUAAUUUGUUUAUCCACAAAGUGGGGAUAAUGCCACGCUCAUUCUCAGGACUGUUGCUUGGGUUUGAUGAGAUCACAUGUGCAAAGUAUUUGGGACCGUGCCUGGCAUAUAUGAAGACCAGAUAGAGGUCAGUUCCCUUUCUUCUCCUUGGCUGGUACCUAAGGGAUUGGAGAGGUCCCCUUGUGUCACUCUCCAGAGCUGACCCAGCUUGUCUAGCGGUGUCUCAUGUCAACCAUAGCCUGGGAUCUUCUGCAGGGAGGCUUACAUAGAAAAACGGAACAUGUGAUGAUUGCAAGCCCACCCAGGGUAUCCAGGAGACCUCCGAGUGAGGAGGGAGGGCCAGGCAUGUGCUGAGAAGUUGUAGGAAGCCCUGCCUGCUGCUCUCUCUGCUAAUGAGCCGCAGAGCCUGCAGCACUGACAGGUUCAUCCCAGGGACUCUGGAGUUCUCUGCAGGGACUGAGCCGUGAAUCCGCCUGCGUGCUGAGCUUGUCUUUCCGCUCUCAUCUUUCCAUGGCAACCGGGGAAAGGGGGCCAGGAUGUGGCAAUCUCCACAGGAGAAGCGUGGGCGCGGCUGUCUGUAGGCAGCAGUGCUGGAAGGAGAGGAGGAACAGCAGCCCUGAUUCCAGGCCAGCGCUUGAUACAAGCCCAUCAUGGUCACAUGGGAGCUCCUGAAAUACCCUGCAUCCUGUCUCCCUCUGGUCUGCCUGAUGUUGCAGAAGAGGAAACAAACAGAGGGGCAAAGUGACUUGGUGAAUGGUGCACAGCUGGUUAAUAGGAGAUGGGAGGUGGCAUUGAAAUCUGGGGCUUCUGACUGGCGGGUGACUCGCCGUCAGGGAGCACUUUUAUGUGCUUUAAGGGGGUCCUCCUGCACCACUGGUUUGAAUUCAGGUCAGAUUUACUGAGGGGCCUUGUUGAAACUACAGGGCAGGCCCCAUCAUCGAUCUCACCCUGAGAAAAGAGUAAGGGCUCCAUACAAUGUUAGGAAACCCAGGACUUCUAAGGACUUCUGCCCCGCCUAAUUCAUUUAGGGGUCCAUCAGUAAAUGUUCCACUGAGAACUUAUUAGAAUGUGCAGAUGGUCUGUUCAAAGAGCAUUACAUGUACUCCUCAUGGAGCAAUCUUUGUUACAAGAAGGGAUUGGAAUGAGAGGGGAAAGAAUAAUCGAAAUGGGGAUUGGAGGGCCCCAGAGUGGUGACUCUGAGGUCCGGGCUCCAUCCUGCUGGCCGGUCCCCCCUCGCUAUGGUCACUCAAGGCUCAUAAAUCACCACUGGGAGCUCAGCGUCCCUCAUGGUGACUCUCCUGUGACUGAAUGGCCUUCAUGUGCUCAAAGGCUACUUUUGUUGACUCCCAAAUUGGGUUGUUGCACUUUCCACCUCCAUUCCUAGUUCUACUCAUCUGGGCUCCGCAGGAAAAUGCUUCUUCUCUGACCCGACAGCAACCAUGGAUACGUGGAGACACCUCACACUUCACCCUGUGAGCCAGUCUCACCCACCUCAUUCUCAGAAUGGGGCAGACCCGGUUCCGCUCUCCCCUUGGGGCUGGGUGCCGGGGACCUGUGGGAAGGUCUGGGUGCUUGGGCCUGUUCUGCUCACCUCUCAGGCACAAGAGAGCCCAGAAGUGUUACUGGUGGCUGGACCAAGAGCUCAGGUGAAUGUUACCCAUGCCGGAGGUGGCCUCCAGGGAUAAAAUGUAGGCCUUAUUGAGGAAAAAGACAACCCCAGAUGUGGGAUGUUAUGACAAGAGGAGAUUCCUGAUCUGCAGACACAGAGUAUGGAGUCUCCUCAUGGGGACCAACCUCGGGACAUCUUUGCCUCUCUCUCAGCCAACUCAGGAUUCAUCCUGCGAUGUUUUUGAGAAGGGACUAGUUAGUUGUGAGGCAGCAUCUUCACGGCUGGCCAUCUUUAUUUUUAGAAGGUUAUAUUUAAUAUGCAGCUGAAAUCUGCUUGAAAUCUGAGCAUUCCAGGGGAGCCUCUCCAGGCCCGGGAGCUGCCCCAGGACCAGAGGCAUCAGACCAGACCCAUCUGCGUGUCUGCAGGGUCCCAUCGAGGCUCAGCGUAUGGGAGCUGCAGUGUAUGGGAGCAGGGACAGAGGACAACGCGGCGCGUGUGCUGGGCGUCUCCUGCGAUGCAGCGAUACGCGGUUAAGUGAAGACAUUGUCAAGUGCCUGUGGCUGCCCCUGCCUCCUGGUGACAUCUGUUCCCUUGUGAGCAGCGGAGCUCUCGGGGCGCGUUCCCUUCCUGCACGGCGCCCUACUAGGCUGUGCUGUGGAUGGAUUGACUUUACUGGAGGUGGGUCUGCUGGUGAGUUGGUGGUCUUGGGGGACACUUGAGAACAUCUGAUUUGUCCAAGAUGGACCCCUCCUGCCCUUGGCUGAUGGAGUGGAGCCUCCACUUCUGGUUAGCUUUGGGAGGAGCCCGCGGGGGUUGCAGGACAGAAGGCUAUUCAGUGUGCAGUUUGACCCGUUCCUGUCUUUUCCCGCCCGAGCCUCACACUAGCCAUCCACUCUGUGUUUCAG